CCAGGCUGGAGUGCAGUGGUGCAAGCAUAGCUCAUUGUAGCCUUGAACUCCUGGGUUCAAGCCAUCCUCCCACCUUAGCCUCCCAAAGCGCUGGGAUUACAGGCAUGAGCCAACACACCUGGCUGGCACCAACUCUCAACCACGCUGUCGCAGAGAGCGGGGCCCCUGCUUGCUGCUGGAUGUCACCUCCCAGCCCUGAGAGGCUGGGGAUGGGAGCCGGCAGCACUCCUUUGCACAGAGCACUGCAGGAAGCACUGGAAUCCGGAAAGAGCGCGGGUGCCGUGAGCAGACUUCCCGGCAGGCGUCAACCUCCUGUGUGGUCAGGAGUGCAGGCGCUGGGGCCGGAACCCUGGGCACUCGACCACAACCGCCUGGGCAACGUGGCCAAGUGGGCGCGUGUCCUGGGGCUCUUGCAACAAGCCAGGUGGCCUCAACAACAGAUACUGAUUCCCUUACAGCUCUGGGGAAUUCCCUUACAGCCCCAAAUUAAGCUGUGGGCAGGGCUGCACUCCCUCCAGAGGCGCUAGAGUGGGAUCUUCCUUGUCUCUGGCAGCUUCUGGUGGCCCAGGCGUUCCUUGGCUUGUGGCUGCCUCCCUCCAGUCCCUGCCUGGCCCUCCCACGGCCUCGGCCCCUCUCCAUGUGGCUCUCCCUGGGUUUUCUCUUCUCUUCAUGAAGGUGCUUGUCCUUCACACCAGGCGCUGUGGUCCAGCCUGACAGCCCAGGACGAUCACGCUGCCAGGUCUUGACCUGAUUAUAUCUGCAAAGACCCUUUUUUCAAAUAAGGUCAUCUUUACAGGUUCUGGGACACAGACAGAUCUUUCUGUGGGGACACCAUUCAACAAAGAGGGGAAGCCACAGCCAGACCCCCCUCCGCUCAAAGGCUUGCUGUUUCCUAACUAUGUUGCCCGCCACACUCCGUGUCUAUAGAGCUGGGACAGUGGCAGUGCCCACCUCAGAGGUCACCGUGCAGAUUAAAUUCAUCCCUAGACAUGAAGUGCUGGCUGCAGGCACAGAGAACUGGAAGGAAAGGUUUCCUGUGACCGUGUGCUCCUUCUGCCCUCGGCUUGGGGUCUCUGCUGUGCUCGGCGUGGGUGGUGACGAGGAUGUCACUGGGUGCACAGCUGGCCCCACAAGCUGCCCGGACCCCAGGCCUCCCCUCUUUCCAGCCAGGAUGUUGUGUGCUCACAGCCUCUCAGGGCCACAGGUGCAGUGACUGCUGCUGCUGUGUGCUUAUUUGCUGCAGAGACUCCACUGGGGCCAGGCUGAGCAGGACUCCCCAGACAUAUCCAGAGGUCCUUCGAGAGGGCCGCAUGGCAGGCACAGGGUUGAGGGGCCUGGUGGCACGGCCACGGCUCACCUGGGAGUGCAGGUGGGAAGCCCCCACACCUAGCAGAGUGCAGCUCCUUCCCGCACAGCCACCUGCGCUCCUUGGCCUGACCCCGUAGGGCUCUCAAUAAGAAACGGGGGCUUCCCCUCCUCCAGUCUCACCCUCAGUCUCCGCGUUGUCUCCUCCCAGCACCUCCUCCUCUGAUGCGUCACAGUCACAGGUCCUGGUGAGGAGGGAGCCACACCAAGCACAGCGGCUGGAACAGGGGCAAGUGGGUGCCCACCCCGAAGUGCAGGCAAUGAACUUGUGCAGUAGCCCAUGGUGAGCUGUGGGGCUGUUUGUGACUGCAGCGUAGCCACGCCCAUCCCGCCUGAUGCGGCCUCUUCAUCCAGAGUGGGGGUGACGUGCCAGCCCCCACCUCGCCGGAAUGCUGGGAGGAGCGUCUCCAGGGAAGGAGCUCACUUUGUCAGCUGUAAUGUGCUGUGACUAUCGUGUGAGCUCCCGGGUCACUCUAACAAGUCCCACAGCCUGGGGGCUUCAACAGAGAGAGCCUGAAUGGCUCUCUCACCAUUCAGGAGGUGGAAUCCAGGGUCAGGGUGCGGCUCCGCUGGCUCCUGAGGCCUCUCUCCUUGGCUCUGUCUCCUGCUACUGUCCUCACAAGGCCAUCCCUCUGUGUGGGUCUGUGUCCUCAUCUCCUCUCCGUAUAAGGAUACCAGGCAGAUUGGGCCAGGGCCACCCCACCAGCCUCAUGUUACCUUAACCACCUCUGUGAGGACCCCAUCUCCAAGUAAGGUCCCUUGCGGAGGCAUUGGGGCUUAGGGCUGCAGCAUACAGAUCUGGGGGAGACACGCGGCCCCUAACAGUAUCAAGGGUGGGUGGACCCCCAUAGGAUAGGACAGCCGCCCAGUGGGGAGACACGUGGCCCCUAACGGUAUCAAGGGUGGGUGGACCCUCAUAGGAUAGGACAGCCGCCCAGGGGGGAGACACGUGGCUCAUAACAGUAUUGAGGGUGGGUAGAGCCCGAUAGGAUAGGACAGCCACCGGGGGAGACACGCGGCCCAUGACAGUCUCGAGGGUGGGUGGACCCCCACAGGACAGCCGCCGGACAUUUCCUCCUCUGCUAGUCUGAAAAUCACACUGUCUUAGGCAGACAGGGAAGAAUCAACAUUUCCAUGCCAGGCAGAGGCCCCCGGAGUGCAAAGGACCAGAGGAUCAAAGAGCAAACGUCACCCUCAGGGUCUAACGUGCAGGUGGCAGGACCCCGGCCCUUCCUGUGUAUCUGAUUGUGGGUUUUGUCUCUGCCACGUGCAGGGAUGGGUGCAGACUCCGUCCAAGGUCUUGGCAGGAAGAGAAAACUGCCACUGCAGAGGGGCUGGCUGAGGGGCUGGGAUGGGGUCCCCGGGGCGCGGAGCUGCACACCAGCCCCUGGCACCUAGGCAGAAGGUCCAUUGCCCUCUGCCCCGCAGCCUGCCCGUUCCCAGGCCAGUGAGGGUGCUCCCAGGCCCGUCUGCAGCCAGAACACAGCCCGUUCCAUGUGCUUGUCCUUGGGACACAUGAGGAAUGAAUCCAGGCCUCAGUCCUGGCCUCCUCCCCAAGGCUGGGUGCUCAGGCGUCCCCCUCAGCCCCUUUCUCUAGACCUUCCGGCUGAACAAACGAAAACAUCUCACAGCCCUGCAACAGCCAGGAGCUGCUCGUGGAGCUCCAGGCCGGCUGGAGAGAGAGAAGGCGCCCUGGGCAGCCCGCCAGCACCCGGGCUCUCACAGCGGAAGCCCACGUCUUCUUGGGCUCUGUUUUGAAAGCUGUUCUUUCCACGAUGGCUUUGACAAGAAUCGAUUUGAGUGAGCCGGCGUGUCAAUACAGGCCAGCACAGGACUGGCCUCAGGGCCACAUUGGGGAGGGUGGCGACCAGGCCCUGGCUGCAGCCCACGUGGGCAAAAGCAUGGCCAGGCAGGAGGUGGGGCCUGUGAGCUUGGCUACAGCGACCGUGGGCGCUGGGCCCGGGGCUCCUCAGCCCUGAGGGGAGACCCAGGCCCAGGCAGGCUCCCAGGCGGGCUCCCGGGCUCCCAGCCUUCUGAUCUUCUCCCUUUGAGACCUUGCCUUCUGCACAGUGACAGGAAAGAGCCCUGAGUCCCACUUUGCAGGGAUGUAUUGCAUUUCCAGAAAGUUCCUUCCGGGUGCAGAGUGAUACGUGAACCCUGGGGACUCACUCCAACUUGGUAUUGAUUUUCUCCACGGAGGACCCAGCAGUCACGGCCCGUGUCUGCACAGCCCCUGGGAUCCUGCGGAGGAAUUCAGCUGGCCCCUCCCCCUGUGCCGAAAACCACGGAGGCAAAGCCAGGCCAGGUUCAGGUUCCACGCAAAGCGCCCUCCUGUGGCCAAGCCCAGCCCCAUGAGGUCAGGAGGCCUGUGUGGGGUCCCAGGUGGGGAGGCCGCCUGUGUGGGGU
Long non-coding RNA from Pan troglodytes (chimpanzee), 3771 nucleotides. RefSeq lists it as uncharacterized. Lineage: Eukaryota; Metazoa; Chordata; Mammalia; Primates; Hominidae. The transcript has a single exon. The record is from RefSeq and is a predicted model, not a curated record.